Molecule: ribosomal RNA, 542 nt
Filed under: fungal sp.
Lineage: Eukaryota; Fungi
Description: eukaryotic LSU rRNA
Rfam family: 5.8S ribosomal RNA (bases 187-340)
Source: RNAcentral
GACCUGCGGAGGGAUCAUUACACAAAUAUGAAGGCGGGCUGGAACCUCUCGGGGUUACAGCCUUUGCUGAAUUAUUCACCCUUGUCUUUUGCGUACUUCUUGUUUCCUUGGUGGGUUCGCCCACCACUAGGACAAACAUAAACCUUUUGUAAUUGCAAUCAGCGUCAGUAACAAAUUAAUAAUUACAACUUUCAACAACGGAUCUCUUGGUUCUGGCAUCGAUGAAGAACGCAGCGAAAUGCGAUAAGUAGUGUGAAUUGCAGAAUUCAGUGAAUCAUCGAAUCUUUGAACGCACAUUGCGCCCUUUGGUAUUCCAAAGGGCAUGCCUGUUCGAGCGUCAUUUGUACCCUCAAGCUUUGCUUGGUGUUGGGCGUCUUGUCUCUAGCUUUGCUGGAGACUCGCCUUAAAGUAAUUGGCAGCCGGCCUACUGGUUUCGGAGCGCAGCACAAGUCGCACUCUCUAUCAGCAAAGGUCUAGCAUCCAUUAAGCCUUUUUUUCAACUUUUGACCUCGGAUCAGGUAGGGAUACCCGCUGAACUUAAG